RNAcentral lists this long non-coding RNA (441 nucleotides) under Salmo salar (Atlantic salmon). RNAcentral describes it as "lncRNA (ENSSSAG00000088588.1)". The record is from RNAcentral. Lineage: Eukaryota; Metazoa; Chordata; Actinopteri; Salmoniformes; Salmonidae.
CCCUCCUGUAGGUUUUAACUCCAACCCUGUUCCUGGAGAGAAACCCUCCUGUAGGUUUACACUCCAACCCUGUUCCUGGAGAGAUACCCUCCUGUAGGUUUACACUCCAACCCUGUUCCUGGAGAGAAACCCUCCUGUAGGUUUACACUCCAACCCUGUUCCUGGAGAGAUACCCUCCUGUAGGUUUUAACUCCAACCCUGUUCCUGGAGAGAUGCCCUCCUGUAGGUUUAUACUCCAACCCUGUUCCUGGAGAGAUACCCUCCUGUAGGUUUUAACUCCAACCCUGUUCCUGGAGAGAUACCCUCCUGUAGGUUUUAACUCCAACCCUGUUCCUGGAGAGAAACCCUCCUGUAGGUUUUAACUCCAACCCUGUUCCUGGAGAGAUACCCUCCUGUAGGUUUUAACUCCAACCCUGUUCCUGGAGAGAUACCCUCCUGUAG